CCUACGGGAGGCAGCAGUGGGGAAUAUUGCACAAUGGGGGAAACCCUGAUGCAGCGACGCCGCGGGAGUGAAGAAGUAAUUCGUUAUGUAAAGCUCUAUCAGCAGGGAAGAAAAUGACGGUACCUGAGUAAGAAGCCCCGGCUAACUACGUGCCAGCAGCCGCGGUAAUACGUAGGGGGCCAGCGUUAUCCGGAUUUACUGGGUGUAAAGGGAGCGUAGACGGCAGUGCAAGUCUGGAGUGAAAGGGGGGGGCUCAACCCCCGGACUGCUCUGGAAACUGUACGGCUGGAGUGCAGGAGAGGUAAGUGGAAUUCCUAGUGUAGCGGUGAAAUGCGUAGAUAUUAGGAGGAACACCAGUGGCGAAGGCGGCUUACUGGACUGUAACUGACGUUGAGGCUCGAAAGCGUGGGGAGCAAACAGGAUUAGAUACCCCAGUAGUC
This 440-nucleotide ribosomal RNA is filed under the name uncultured bacterium. RNAcentral describes it as "partial 16S ribosomal RNA". It matches the Rfam family "Bacterial small subunit ribosomal RNA", at positions 338 to 795 of the family's 1533-position model. The record is from RNAcentral.